This 497-nucleotide ribosomal RNA is filed under the name uncultured bacterium. RNAcentral's name for it is "partial 16S ribosomal RNA". It matches the Rfam family "Bacterial small subunit ribosomal RNA", at positions 29 to 507 of the family's 1533-position model. The record is from RNAcentral.
AAUGAACGCUGGCGGCAUGCCUAACACAUGCAAGUCGAACGAACACACGGGGAGCUUUCGCUCCUGAGGGUAGCGGGGGACGGGUGAGUAACACGUGGAUAGCAUACCUCUAAGACUUGGAUGAUAACGGGGAACCGGAUCUACUAACGGAUAAUAUAUCGAACCGCAGGGUGCAAUAGUUAAAGACGGUUUUGGUGUCAGUAAUAGCCGAAUCCGGGCCGGAUUAGCUAGUGGGUAAGGUAACGGCCUACCAAGGCUACGAUGCGUAGCCGACCUGAGAGGGUGAUCGGCCACACUGGAACUGAGACACGGUCCAGACUCCUACGGGAGGCAGCAGUAGGGAAUCUUCCGCAAUGGGCGAAAGCCUGAUGGAGCAACACCGCGUGAGUGAUGAAGGUCUUCGGAUCGUAAAGCUCUGUUGUUAGGAAAGAAAAAAAGCGUAUUUAACCAUGCACGUCUUGACGGUACCUAAAGAAUAAGCCCCGGCUAACUACGUG